RNAcentral lists this ribosomal RNA (540 nucleotides) under uncultured bacterium. RNAcentral describes it as "partial 16S ribosomal RNA". It matches the Rfam family "Bacterial small subunit ribosomal RNA", at positions 354 to 881 of the family's 1533-position model. The record is from RNAcentral.
UGGGGGAAUUUUGGACAAUGGGCGAAAGCCUGAUCCAGCAAUGCCGCGUGUGUGAAGAAGGCCUUCGGGUUGUAAAGCACUUUUGUCCGGAAAGAAAUCCUCUGGGUUAAUACCUCGGGGGGAUGACGGUACCGGAAGAAUAAGCACCGGCUAACUACGUGCCAGCAGCCGCGGUAAUACGUAGGGUGCAAGCGUUAAUCGGAAUUACUGGGCGUAAAGCGUGCGCAGGCGGUUUUGUAAGACGGAUGUGAAAUCCCCCGGGCUUAACCGGGAACUGCAUUCGUGACUGCAAGGCUAGAGUAUGGCAGAGGGGGGUAGAAUCCACGCGUAGCAGUUGAAAUGCGUAGAGAUGUGGAGGAAUACCGAUGGCGAAGGCAGCCCCCCUGGGCCAAUACUGACGCUCAUGCACGAAAGCGUGGGGGAGCAAAACAGGAUUAGAUACCCCUGGUAGUCCACGCCCUAAACGAUGUCAACUAGUUGUUGGGGGAUUCAUUUCCUUAGUAACGUAGCUAACGCGUGAAGUUGACCGCCUGGGGGAGU